Molecule: ribosomal RNA, 666 nt
Filed under: uncultured Micromonosporaceae bacterium
Lineage: Bacteria; Bacillati; Actinomycetota; Actinomycetes; Micromonosporales; Micromonosporaceae
Description: bacterial SSU rRNA
Rfam family: Bacterial small subunit ribosomal RNA
Source: RNAcentral
CUUUGGGAUAACCCUCGGAAACGGGGGCUAAUACCGGAUAUGACUUCUGGUUGCAUGACUGGUGGUGGAAAGUUUUUUCGGCCUGGGAUGGACUCGCGGCCUAUCAGCUUGUUGGUGGGGUAAUGGCCUACCAAGGCGACGACGGGUAGCCGGCCUGAGAGGGCGACCGGCCACACUGGGACUGAGACACGGCCCAGACUCCUACGGGAGGCAGCAGUAGGGAAUAUUGCACAAUGGGCGGAAGCCUGAUGCAGCGACGCCGCGUGAGGGAUGACGGCCUUCGGGUUGUAAACCUCUUUCAGCAGGGACGAAGCGUAAGUGACGGUACCUGCAGAAGAAGCACCGGCCAACUACGUGCCAGCAGCCGCGGUAAGACGUAGGGUGCGAGCGUUGUCCGGAUUUAUUGGGAGUAAAGAGCUCGUAGGCGGCUUGUCGCGUCGACUGUGAAAACCCGCGGCUCAACCGCAGGCUUGCAGCCGAUACGGGCAGGCUAGAGUUCGGUAGGGGAGACUGGAAUUCCUGGUGUAGCGGUGAAAUGCGCAGAUACCAGGAGGAACACCGGUGGCGAAGGCGGGUCUCUGGGCCGAUACUGACGCUGAGGAGCGAAAGCGUGGGGAGCGAACAGGAUUAGAUACCCUGGUAGUCCACGCUGUAAACGUUGGGCGC